Molecule: long non-coding RNA, 1529 nt
Organism: Siniperca chuatsi (mandarin fish)
Lineage: Eukaryota; Metazoa; Chordata; Actinopteri; Centrarchiformes; Sinipercidae
Exons: 3
Source: RefSeq, a predicted model, not a curated record
UUUAACAAAAGGUGUUUCUGGUCUGCUUAAUACGGCUCUGUAAAUGGCUAAUUUAUGCCUGGCGCACCUGGUGACACGGUACAGUAGCUGGAGAGAGACUCAGAAAGACGGAGAGAAGAGGGGGAAUCAGGGAGGAGACCUAGCUGUUGAAGGCAGGAGGAAUAUAAAAGAGAAAUUGACGGAGCGAUGGAAAGAAAGAUGGAGGGACAGAGGAGGAGUGUUAAUGACACACUGACACAGAAACCCCGUGGCCUUUCAUCCAGCAGCACCAUCAGAAGAAACUUCAUCAAGGCUGGAGACCUCUGCAAGGGGGGUGAGGCCAGAGAGUGAAAGGAGAGAAGACAAGAAAUAACGAUUGCAACAUUCCUCCCAUUUCAACACAUUUCAUAGUCCUCCUUUAACAUUUAACAAAUUCCACCUCUCAUGCUGUCAAUUUAAUUCCUCUGUUCAAUUUAUGUCCACCUCGAGGCUUCCUCUGCAAGGAUCUCUCGGUCAUUCACAUCGAGACCACAAAUAUUUACAGUGCAGACGCAGUAAAUGCCUUCUUGCAACACACACAAGGAAAUAGAUAUUCCAGUCCAUCCACAGAGAGUUGGAUGUGUUGUGUUCAGGGCUGAGUGUUCAGCUCGCUGCUGCCACGCGUCUCCUCUUGGGAUCAAGAGGCUUUUAUAGACUAAAUAUUGUAAACAUUGAGCAAUUCUUCCAAUAUGUUUUGUUGCACUCACAGCAUUCCAGUCAACAGCUUAUCAAGAGUAAGCCAAGUAAAUGCAUUUGCUCAUAUUCCAAGCACAGACAUCCAUCAAUAUAUUAAAUAUUGGGAAUAUUUCAGUGGAACAGAAUCUUCUCAAAUGUAAGGGACUUAGGGCCUUAACUAUUACUGGCAUACAGAGAAAAUGAACAGUGGUGGACAAAAUAAUGAGCAAGUUCAUUCUUGAACUUGGAAAGAGUAAUUACACAUGCACAAAAAAAUCUUAAAUCAAGGUCCACUUACUAGCUUUUUCUGGAGCUUUCAUCUGCAUCUCACAGUCUUCAUCAGUGUUUGGAAUUUGCUCAGUCAGUUAUCAUGGAGAUGACUCAAUUGUCAUUAUACCAUACUUAGGAGACCUUAUGACAACUGAGCCAUUUCCAUGACAACUUAGCAAACUCCAUCUGCUGAAGAAGACCAUAUCAUGCAUUUGAAGGUGGAAAAAGCAAGUACGUGGACUUUUUGUUGAUCAAAAUGUUUCUUAAUGUCCUGACUUGUACUGAGCAGCCACAGAAUGAUUCAUUGGCAACUAUUAACCUGAAUAAACACCAUUUCUGUUGCAUUCAAAGUAUUUUCUCUCAACUUAUUUUGGGAGUUCUUUAAAAUUUCCCACAUGCUACAUGCUUGUUCCAAAGAGAACAACAAUUGCCUAUUAAUAUUAAAAUAAUUAACAUUUCCUACAAUUUGGGCAGAUCAUUACAGACCAAAUACUUUUGAAUAAAAAGUGACAGCCAUACAGUAGAAUCCCAUUCAACAUGUGCAAACUUUUAAGUAAAGUAUAGAU